CAAGCGAGACAUUAGACUCAAAAGCAAUUGUGCCUCAUUGUAACUAUGUCAACACCCCCAAACAAACAAAAAACAAAAAAUAAAUGUACAGGGACUUGGGUGUCGAACUCUCAGAAAAUAGACUGUUUAUGAGAAGAGAAAUGCAGUCAGAAGUCCUCCUUCCAGAUCAGGCAAUGGAUACAAGAACUUCAGAGGUAACCAUGAUGCAGAAUAUGGACUAAGUAUCACUGAAAGAGGAGCCCUGAAGCACAGCCAAGUGGGAGGAGAAAGGUGAUUGACAGUUGGCUUGACCAGUGUGGACUGAGAGGUGAAAUUCCAUCCUCCAAUCCACUGGCCUCAUAGCAAAGAUUUGCCUAUUGGUGUGAACAGAACGCAAGGGCAGCAGAAUCGGUCACACUCUGAAAAGCCUGCAUGACAGAUACUUCCUUUCCUUCCAAUCACAGAUAUGCAGAAGCUGUUCUGAAAUCUUCUUCCGUGUAAGUAAUUAGAUUCUAUCACUGAGAACAAAAGUUACCACAAAAGUCCAACUCUGAAGCAUCAGCCACUUACUGUGUCACUAUACUGCAUUCAGCAGAAACAGCCUACCAAACCACAUUUCAUUCACAAAAAAAACCCAAAACCAAACCAAACCAAACCAAACCAAAACCAAAAAACAAAAAAACCACCACCCCCCCCAAAAAAACCCCCACUGUCUGGGUUUGAGGGGGAAGUGAACUUUUCAGGGAGUUGUGAGCAAACCAAUCAGUGGUCAGGUUUUAUGCUGGCACGUAGAGUAGCCAUUGAGAGGUUAGACAAGCCUCCGAGGACACAAGGGGUUAAAAGCGGAGACUGCCAGAGGGUCUGCCUCUUUUGGGUUCCGGUUUCAGCAGGGAAAUAUCUCCUCUCCCCUGCCCAGCUUUAUGCUGAGUGGGGGAGGGGAGCCACAUGGCCGGGCUGAGGGGAACCACGCGGCCAAACUGAAGUAAGCUGGGGCCCCGGGGCGGGGAAGAGAAUGGACAGAACUGGAGCUGAGCUGCCCCAUCCAGGAUGGAGGGGUGGAAAACUGUGGAGGUACCUUCAGUGUCUUCCCCCCCCACCCCAGCCAACCCCCAGGGAGAAGACGUCCAGCUGCCAGUGGGAGCUGCCCAAGCAGGGAGUGCCUGAGCCUGCAGCUCCCUGCUGGGAGCCAAGAACUGUUAACCCUUUCUGAGGCAGAAAGAAACUUUUCCCAGACAUUAACUCUCAUAGCUAGUGGCUUCAGAAGAGAGAGACAGCUUGAGACUGAGAUGAUAAAAGAAAGAUAAAAAGAAUCCCAGAUGGGCAGGUAUGAAGAAGAGUAGCUUUUUAAGCUAGACUUUUCUUGCAUAAUGUUAGCCAUAGACUGAACUUGAGACUCUUUUGAACAUAAACUGCAUUUUGGGGUGGAUGUAGCCGGCUCGACUUGCUGCAGUGGAGCGAACAGAGAAGAGAGGAAGAGAGUGUGGUGGUGCCCUCUGCCCUCAGAGAAGAAACCCUUGGCCCCAGGGGAAAAAUGGGGAGAGCCCAGCAUGCAAGCAUCCUUAAAAAGAGCCCUAUAUGCAGCUUUAGCCCAUGGACAGUGGUGAGAGCAAUGGACAUGGAAAAGAGAGUGUCACCACGGCAGCCAGGUGGUGCCACGGGUGACACAGAAACACAUAAAAGGUGGACCCGUGUUUUCUGAAGAGCAGUCUGUGGUGUGAGAAAGACUCCUCUCUCCCUUGCUGAAUUGAAGAUUAGUUUUUUGAGUGGUGAUUGUUUGAUUUAAAACCCAAGGUUUUGGUCCAUGGAGGGUAAUGUGUAA
Long non-coding RNA from Prinia subflava (tawny-flanked prinia), 1798 nucleotides. RefSeq lists it as uncharacterized. The transcript is spliced from 4 exons. The record is from RefSeq and is a predicted model, not a curated record. NCBI's taxonomy places the organism in Eukaryota, Metazoa, Chordata, Aves, Passeriformes, Cisticolidae.